Molecule: ribosomal RNA, 497 nt
Filed under: uncultured bacterium
Lineage: Bacteria
Description: partial 16S ribosomal RNA
Rfam family: Bacterial small subunit ribosomal RNA
Source: RNAcentral
GAUGAACGCUGGCGGCGUGCCUAAUACAUGCAAGUCGAGCGAACGGACGCGAAGCUUGCUUCUCUGAUGUUAGCGGCGGACGGGUGAGUCACACGUGGAUAACCUACCUAUAAGACUGGGAUAACUUCGGGAAACCGGAGCUAAUACCGGAUAAUAUUUUGAACCGCAUGGUGCAAAGGUGAAAGACGGUCUUGCUGGCACUUAUAGAUGGAUCCGCGCUGCAUUAGCGAGUUGGUGAGGUAACGGGUUACCAAGGCAACGAUGCAUAGCCGACUUGCAGGGGUGGUCGGCCACCCUGGAGCUGGGCCGCGCACCAGGGUCCUGCGGUAGGCCGCAGUAGGCAAUCUGCCGCAACGGGCGAGAGCCUGACGGAGCAACGCCGCGUGAGUGGUGACGGUGUUCGGAGCGUAAAACUCUGUUAUUGGGGAAAAACAGAUGUGUAAGUAACUGUGCCCAUCGUGACGGUACCUAGUCAGAAAGCCACGGCUAACUACGUG